RNAcentral lists this ribosomal RNA (247 nucleotides) under uncultured bacterium. RNAcentral's name for it is "partial 16S ribosomal RNA". It matches the Rfam family "Bacterial small subunit ribosomal RNA", at positions 523 to 769 of the family's 1533-position model. The record is from RNAcentral.
AUACGUAGGGUGCGAGCGUUAAUCGGAAUUACUGGGCGUAAAGCGUGCGCAGGCGGAUUGUUAAGCAAGAUGUGAAAUCCCCGGGCUUAACCUGGGAAUGGCAUUUUGAACUGGCAGUCUAGAGUGCGUCAGAGGGGGGUGGAAUUCCACGUGUAGCAGUGAAAUGCGUAGAGAUGUGGAGGAACACCAAUGGCGAAGGCAGCCCCCUGGGAUGACACUGACGCUGAGGCACGAAAGCGUGGGGAGC